RNAcentral lists this ribosomal RNA (450 nucleotides) under uncultured bacterium. RNAcentral describes it as "partial 16S ribosomal RNA". It matches the Rfam family "Bacterial small subunit ribosomal RNA", at positions 354 to 796 of the family's 1533-position model. The record is from RNAcentral.
GUGGGGAAUUUUGGACAAUGGGCGCAAGCCUGAUCCAGCAAUGCCGCGUGCAGGAUGAAGGCCUUCGGGUUGUAAACUGCUUUUGUACGGAACGAAAAGCCCUGGGUUAAUACCCUGGGGUCAUGACGGUACCGUAAGAAUAAGCACCGGCUAACUACGUGCCAGCAGCCGCGGUAAUACGUAGGGUGCGAGCGUUAAUCGGAAUUACUGGGCGUAAAGCGUGCGCAGGCGGUUUUGUAAGACAGAGGUGAAAUCCCCGGGCUCAACCUGGGAACUGCCUUUGUGACUGCAAGGCUAGAGUACGGCAGAGGGGGAUGGAAUUCCGCGUGUAGCAGUGAAAUGCGUAGAUAUGCGGAGGAACACCGAUGGCGAAGGCAAUCCCCUGGGCCUGUACUGACGCUCAUGCACGAAAGCGUGGGGAGCAAACAGGAUUAGAAACCCGUGUAGUCC